RNAcentral lists this long non-coding RNA (13245 nucleotides) under Nicotiana tabacum (common tobacco). RNAcentral's name for it is "long non-coding RNA (NTAB_LNC014910)". Lineage: Eukaryota; Viridiplantae; Streptophyta; Magnoliopsida; Solanales; Solanaceae. The record is from RNAcentral.
UAUAAUGAUCUGUGCGGAUGAGAAACUGCUGCCCCCACAAAUAAGGUCGCCAAUGCUGAACAGCUUUAGCCAAUCCUAUUAGUUCCCUCUCAUAAGCAGGCAAUUUAAAAUGCCGAUCAGCCAAUUUUUGACUAAAAAAUGCAAUAGGAUGACCCCUCUGUUGUAGAACAGCCCCAAUUCCCACACCUGAAGCAUCACAUUCCACCACGAACUCCUCAUCAAAAUUAGGCAAUUGCAAAACCGGGGGAGCCACUAGAGCCUGUUUUAGAGCAGUAAAGGAGGCUAGGGCUGCCUCUGUCCAAUUAAAUGAAUUCCGUUUGAGCAUGCUUGUGAGGGGAGCUGCAAUUUGUCCAUAGUCACGAAUAAACUUCUGGUAAUAGCCUGUUAGUCCUAAAAAAACCCUCAAGGUAGUGAUAGAUUGAGGCAGGGGGCAGUUGUCAACUGCCUUAAUUUUGCUUGUGUCUGCAGAUGCACCUGUCGCUGAAACUACAUGACCAAGAUAGGCCACUUGAUUUUCUCCAAAAAAACACUUGGACCUUUUUAAACGGAAGUGGUGAGCCCGUAGUAACUCAAAAACAGUUCUAAUAUGACUCAAAUGCUCUUCCCAAGACUUGCUAUAGAUUAAGAUAUCAUCAAAAAAUACUAGGACAAACAAACGCAGACACUUACGAAAUACCUCGUUCAUCAAUGCUUGAAAAGUGGAUGGAGCAUUUGUUAAACCAAAUGGCAUGACUAGGAACUCAAAGUGCCCAUGGUGAGUCCGAAAAGCAGUCUUCUCUAUAUCACUGGGAUGCAUGUGGACUUGGUGAUAACCUGAUUUAAGAUCCAGCUUGGUAAAGAACCGAGUUCCAUGUAGUUCAUCCAACAAUUCAUCAACUACUGGAAUAGGAAACUUAUCCUUAAUUGUUAUGGUAUUAAGUUCUCUCUAAUCCACACAAAAACGCCAUGUUCCAUCUUGCUUGCGAACUAAUAGCACCGGUGAGGAAAAAGGUGAUUGGCUUGGCCGAAUAAUGCCUUGCUGCAACAUCUGGUCACAUUGCCUUUCUAUCUCGUCUUUUUGUGAAUGAGGAUACCGGUAAGGUCUGACCACUACGGUCCCUGUUCCGGGUUGGAGGCAAAUUCUGUGAUCACAAGUGCGAAGAGGUGGCAGCCCUACUGGAUCAUGAAACAAAUCAUUGAAUUCUGACAAUAAAUCAUCCAGCUGGUUUUGUUGUUCAGAUGGUGCUUGAAUAAGAUGUAGUUGUGGCUCAUCUGGUUGCCUUUGCCCUUGUAAGGUGACUGAAUUUCCAGCUAGUUUAAAAGUCAUCGUAAGAGAGACAAAAUCCCAUAGUAUAGGUCCUAAUGUUUGUAGCCACUUAAUUCCUAAAACAAAAUCAAAACCACCCAGAGGAAUUAUAUAAAAAUCAGCCACAAAAAAAUUGUCAGCAACAGAAAACCGAACUCGUUGACAAAUUCCGGUGCUAGGAACCUUCUCUCCAUUUGCCACCGAGACAUACAAAUUUGACUUGGGUAGGAUUUGCAGCCCUAGAUGUUGAGCUGCUAUAUCACUUAUGAAAUUAUGGGUACUUCCAGAAUCGACCAAACUCAGUAAUGUUUGACCCUUCAUUAUAGCUUGUAGUUGCAUGGUUUUAGCAUUUUGUUUCUCUGUUAUGGCGUGCAGGGAUAUUUCUGGCUCGUCAGCCGCUUCUUGUGUCAUGGUUUCUUCAUCGCUAAUUUCUAACCAAAAUAAUUUUUUACAUUGAUGUCCAGGUUCAUAUUGUUCAUCACAAUUAUAGCACAAACCCUUUGCCCGUCUUUCUGCCAUCUCGACUCGUGACAACCUCUUAAUAAAAUGGCGAAUUCACACUGUUGGUACUGGAAUUUGCUGCUGUAAAAUUUCCUUGGCCAGAGUUAAUCUUCGAGUUUGCAAUUGAUCCAAUAUUGUUGGUCUUUGAACUCAUACCAAUAGAUGUUCCAUAACUUCGACGGAGGCUGGUAGUAAGUUGUUGCUUUUUCUCAUGGGCACGUGCCGGAUUCAUCGCUUGGGCCAAAUUUGGAGGACUUAACAUCUCUACAUCUAUUCGAAUUGAAUCUCUUAAUCCUGCUGUAAAUAGGUCAACCUGUUGAUCUGCCCGCACCGUACAAGCACGUGCUAGCAGCCCCUGGAAUUGGCGGUGAUAUUCUUCCACGGUCCCUGUUUGUUUAAGAUUCACCAACUCCCCCAAUGGGUUGCCGCGUAAAGGUGGACCAAAUCUGAGAGUACAAUAGUCUUUAAAUGUUUCCCACAUGAGUGUUGGUUCUUCCUGUUCCAAUUUGAAAUACCAGAGUUGAGCCUCGCCCAACAUGUGAAAAGCUGCCAGACCAACCUUAUCCAACUCCGCAGUGUGUUGAUGGGCAAAGAAUUUUUCGCAGCGGAUCGCUAGAACCAUCGAAAGUGGGGAAAUCAAGCUUGGUAUAUCGUGGCACAAUUCCGCCUCCCGUUCGUAAUUCUGGUCUCUCCUCUAUUCUGGUAUUUCGAUUGCCAAUAGCACUACUGCCUGCUAAGCCAUCAUCAAUUUCUUUGUUGCGGCUUCUGUUGGACCCGCUUAUUAGUUCCUCCAGUUGUUGCGAUACUUGUUGUAACCGAGCUUCCAUUCGCGAUUCAAUUGCAGCAAUUCUUAAUUCAUUCGCUUGCUGAAUUUCUUGUAAAAGAACUCUUAAUUCGCUGCUAUCGCCCACAGUGUUUGGCUCUGGUACCAAUUUGUUAUAUUCACGGGUUAAGGAUCGUGUCACUGGGCGAUUAACAGGAAAAUCCUCUUCCAGUAACAAGGUCUUUUUCUUAUUUUUAUUUCUUCCCUUUGAACGACCUAUGGUGACAGAUCUGUGGGCUCGUCAAAGGGAGCUCCAACCUUAAGACUCGUUGAGAAAGAGUCUCGCACCUCUAGAGUUUAAAAGAAAACUCUGCGUGUCUUUAUUUCUAGGGAUUACUCACUUUCGGGGCAUUUUUGUCUUUAGAUACUUUUAUCCCUUUAUUGCUAAUACACAUAUUCUUAGUUCAUAUUGUAUCUCGCAUAAAAUAAUAUAUAAAUUUUCGCAUAACUAUAAUGUGGAUAUUAGAUAAUACCUCCAACCAUAUGUGGCAUUAGUUAUAUGAGAUUACUCCCUCCAUCCCAAUUAAUGUGGCAUUCCUUCCUUCUUACUUUGUGCCAAAAUGAAUAUCAUACUUUCUUAUUUAAAAAGAAUUUAAAUUUAAACUUCCCAUUUUACCUAAUGAGAUGAUUUACGGCCACACAAAUGUCUAUAGUUUGUUUUAGAUCACAAGUUUCAAAAACCUUUUUUUCCUCCAUGCCCAGUCAAACAUCGCCACAUAAAUUCGGAUGAAGGGAGUAUUGUUUCUUAUACAGCCAACCAAAAGCAACAUUACUUAUACAUGCAAAAAUUUUCCAAAUCCCUCCAACACGGUAUAAUUCAUACGGGAUUUUAUGCUGGAAUUAUUUUUCCUAAUCCCUCCGACCAGCCAAACCCUUAGGUGAUGUUUGGUUGGAAGUAGUGACAAAAUUAUCUCCACAUAAAAUUUAACAUUGUUAAUACAAUGAGAGGUUUCACUCUUCCUUUCACAUAAAACUUAGCAUUGUUUUAUACGAUGUUGGUUUCACUUUUUCUUUUCCGCAUAACUAAUACCCGCAUAACUUAUGCGGGAAUCUAUGUCUUCUUUUAUGGGGGAUAAAAUGUGGAACAACUUCAACAUAGUUUAGCCUUCAGGCCAAGUAACAGUUCGGUUCUCCUUGCAUACAGUUGCAUUGCAGUCGUGCAUGCAUUGUUUUCAUAGAAGACUGGGCUCAGGCUUUUAGGGCGGUCGACGAUGUUUACCGGGUGUAAAUGACCCACUCCGUUACUUUUUGAGUAUAGAUACAGAGAUGUCAGAGAUAGACCCUGCAACAGGCUCCUGAAUCUUUACGCUCCUAAUCAGCGGCAAUGGUGAGCCUUCCAUCUUCUCUCCCUAGAGAUCAUUUCAGUUUUAUGCCAUGUUUCUUUUUCUUGGGUUGUGUCACUGUCUAGUUAACUCAGAGUCAUAGGUGAUGCAAGUACUUUGUGGGUUGUGGGAUUCAGUUGGUCGGAUAUUUUGCUUGACAAAAUAGUUCUGUUAUCUUGUUUGCCUAAGGUAUCUUUUAUCUCCUUCAUGUUUUAUGAUUAUCUGUUCAGCCAGUUGAGUGAUAUGACUUAAGGGUUCACUUAGUGGGUAGCGACUAGCGACUGGCCAAAUACCAGUCAUGGAUCAUCCAAAUUUGGGUCAUGACAUGAUGAUGCAAGGCUGUCAUAAGUGACAAACCACAUCUUGCAAUGAAGGAUUAUAGCAUCCUUCAAUUUUUAGCAGCACAGAAGCAUAUGGACCAAAAAUGAUAUCCAACUGACAGAACUAACCAUACAGGUCGAAAAAGCAUUGUUUAUAAUUUCACACCCUUAUAUUUGCACGCUGGCUAGUUAGGAAGAUUUGGAAACAUGUUGACAGAUGUGAACUAUUGGAUCACGUUUACAAUGUCCAGCAGUAGCUAGCUCACUUCCAAACUAUUGCUAGUUGUCCCUACAUGUUCACUAGUUAAGUUCUUAUGUAAUAGAUACUUGAUUCAUGAGUAUGUCGUACUGAGAGUUAUUCCUUUAAGAUUUCAAUUCCAUUAAUUAUUGAUGGUCCCAGCAGCAUCAGCAAACAGAUAAUCACCAUGAACCCUACGAAAAUCUUGAACAAUUUUUUCACUUAAAUAAGAAAUUCAGCACACUUUCCUUCCACAGCCAAAAUGGAGAAUCAAAAGAAAACAAUGUAGAACUGAAACAUUCAGGGGGGGGGGGGGGAUUUUCUAACCUCCAAAAAUAAUACAGAUAUACUCUCCCGAUCUUUUAUAUCCAAACCUUGGGAUACGUCUGACACAAGAGAGAUUGCAUUAGCUAUGACCGAGUCUACUAUGCUCAAUUGCUUAGUUCCUUCAUGUGCCAUUGAGAAUCUUAUCAAUUCCUGCAGAAGUAGAAUAUACUCAUUAUUUGGUAUUAGUCACAAUCUCAUGAAGAAUAGUGCCAAAAUAGCUUUCAUCUUAGAAAAGAGAUGUUUUCAGGGAAACUCAACUCCUAUAGGUUCUUUAAAAGCUAUGUGCAUUGCCAAUUUGUUUUGCUGGUGUAUAUUGUACUUUGGAUUUCAUUAGUUCUUUGGUUCUGGCUUAGUCAGUUAUGUGUAGGAGCCAGGAAUUUUUUUUGUAAGCUUAACUGCCAAUUCAUGUACUUCUUGCAUCUUCUUGAUGCUUUCUAUUGGAUCACUUACUUCAUCAAAAAAAAAAGUAGCUUUCAUCUUAGAAGCUCUUCAGGGCCUUUUCAAUUUUUUAUCUUUUCAAACAAAAGUAGUAAUUUCCUUUCCAAAAACUAAUACAGAGAUGUGUGCCACUAUUAUAUGGUGGUCUGAAUUCUUAAUCUGGAUGACCUGUGAAAGUUCUUAUAUUGGAAUCACCAAUAACGAAACAGAAUUCCAAGUGUUCAAUUGGCAUUUAACCUUCUCAAACUCAAGAGUGUGAACCAAUUGCUCACAUAUUGUACUACCCUCAAUAGAAAACUGAAUGCUAUUUUCUUUUUCUUUUCUUUUUUUAAAUAACGGUAGUGUCCAGGAAAGCCUGUGUGCACCUCGACCAUUUCACCAAGUAACUCUUGCCACUAAGGCUUAGGUGAAUGGGGAGAAAAAAUCACCUAGCAUUUUUUGUCUCCAAUUGAGAUUUGAACACUGGUCUCCUCCAAGGUUUUCACCAGCUUCAUACCACUAGGCACCUAAGCAGCCACACCCUUGGGUGCCAAACUAAAUGCUAUUUUUUUAUAUGAGCUGUUACAAUAUCUAUUUCUUGCUUGGUAUAGCCAAUAGAUUGCUUAUUUCCAUGGAAAGAAAAAGUUCCAACUAAUAGUACAAUAUAAGGUUUGCAUAACACUCUUACAAUUCAUAAUAGCAAUAUAUCGAUCUUCUACCUAUCAAAGAUACAAAAGAGGAACCUGUGGAUCUCACUUCUUCCUGAGUUUCUCAUUAAAUAACAACUUCCUAAAAUUCUUAACUUUACAACACGCCAAUUCCAGAAGGACAUUCAGUUUGGAGGAGGGAGUACUAAACUUGACAUUACCUGCUAGUUGCAGGAAAGGCAUCCUAACAGAGAUAAGGAAAACAUACCUCAUAAAGAAGUUUGCAACCAGGGAUACGCUUUAUUCCAUCAAUUAUUACAUCUCUCGCAGCCUCCACACUAGCAGUGAUCUGGCACCAAUGGAAGGUAGUAUCAGAUUAUGUCCAAGAACAUGGGUAAGACCCAUAGAAAGGGCUAUUAUGAUUAAGUUGUGUUAAACUGCACUGUGAAACGGUUUACAAAGACGAGACCUUGUGCCAAACAACAUGCCUCAUUCAUCCUUUGCUGAGCUAGAUAUUAAGUGACAAUAUUUUCUCAUGAUUAUUUAAACAACAAUCUGCUGGCACAAUCUGCUAUCUCCCAAUAAAUGUAAUAAAUUUCUACAUUUAAUUAUGUACAUAGACAAGUAAAUCUUUUAAGCAUGAUGCCAAUCUAACAAUAUGAGAUUCCAAGCUAAUUUAAAGGGAACUUUACAGCUCUUAGUGCUGAAUUAGGACCCCCCCGAUGCUCGUCUUUUCUGCAGAAAAUUUGUAUCUUCUUAUAGCUUAAGCUUUUAGAUAAAAUGGUCGCUUACUUCAACAAAAACCACACCAACCAUCUCCAUAUGUGGUGUCGUAUCAAUCCUACAACCAAAAGAGUAGACCCAUCCAACAAAUCAAGAACAAGAAAGACUUUGUUUCACACCCUAAUGUCCUUCUUAUGUAACUCCAACUUAUUUGCAAGCCUGAAAGACGGGUUUCCCCACUUCAUAAUUAUUCCACCAUCCAGACACUAUUUCUUCAACGUAUGUGGUGUGUAACCAUAUAUUCUCAAAUCUUCCGGUUGAAAACAUAAUUAAAUAAAUAAAAGUGUGCUCUCCCUAACAACUUAAGCUUUUAGAUGAGAUGGUCACACACUUCAACAUGGUAUCAAAGCAGGCAGAGGUCCUAGGUUCGAGUCUCACCGCCAUCCAAUAUCAAAAAGAACUUCCACGUGUUUGGCUCAUCAAAAGAAUCAAGCUCGUACGUGAGGGGGCGUGUUAAAGAUAUAAUGAAGUAAAUAAAAGUAUGCUCUCUCUAACAGCUUGAGCUUUUAGAUGAGAUGGUCACACACUUCAACACUUCUCCUCCAUCAAGUACAACAGGUGAGUGGUUCGAUGUCAGCCUCAUAAGGAGAAUCUAAAUCACAUCCGGAGCCAUCUCCUCCCUGGUAAUGGACACAAUCUAUCAAGUUUUGAUCUAGAUGUUGAGUCCUUCGACCAGCCCAAGUGAAACUAGCACCUGUCAAACGGAGAGUCAAUAAAAGUUGAUUAUUGAUAAACUCCGAGAACUCUUCCAUCGUUACCACCUUUCCUUUGAUAAUGUUAAAGGUACUUCCUAACAUCCAAGGGAUAUUUCACUCCCUCAAAGCAACAACCAUCUCUUCCAAAAGGUCUCCUUGAACCCCUUCCUCCCCAAGACCAUACACUCCCCUGAAUCCCCACGGCGACCCAUUCUCGAUGUUUCUAAACCAUGUUGCUAACAUGAACUCACCUUUUUUUAUCUCCAUACUCGAUAAUUUCCUUUUCUCCCAUAGUAACAGUAUACCUCAAAAGUUCCCCCGAGCCAGUAUAUAGUCAUUUUCUCCCAUCUUCCCCGCACUCCUACAAUCCACUUUGAAACCGCCUCCAUUUUAGUUUCUUGAAAUUAAAGUAAAUCUACCCCCAUUCUUUUAUUCUUGCCUUGAUGAUGGCCCUUUUGUUCGGUUCAUUUGUCCCCCACAAAUAAUAUCAAUCUACCACUUUUUCUUUCCCCCCAUUUUUCACCUUCCCCACCGCCUUUACCCUUCCCAUUUCCCAUUUCUCCUACAGUAUGCCAUUAUGUUGCCUUUCCCUUUUUGUAUGACCACCAAAUAUCUCUCCCUCCUCGUCAUAUCUACACUCUCUACACCUACACUCCUCUUGACUCUUGUUCUCUCUCAAGUAAGAGUUCAAUAAAUCCUCAUUUCCAUAAAAUGAAAAUUCUAGGAACUUUCCAAAGUUAAGAUAUUUUUUUCUGGCCCAUUUUAAUAGCUUCUUCUCCCUUUCGAUGAUUGCAAAGGUUGAGGAAUAUUUAGAAUAGGAAAGCAGCAACUCAACCUAAAGGAUGGUAUGACGAAAUAUGAAGCCAUAAAGUCAAAAAUAGGGGUAAUAUAAUUGAAGCUCCUUAUAACUGAUAUUCCAUAUCAAGAAAGCAUCCAUAAUUCUCUCUCUCUGUCUCCCCACUCCCCCGUCCCUCCCAAUCAGUGAAGCAUCAAAGGUUAUCAUUUGUUACUAUUGAAACCAUAAACCAACAAUUGCUAAAUAAUUAAGUAUUUAAGCUGCAAAGUAGAUUGCGUACCAUGUGUUUGAGACGAUAAUAAGAAAUGUAUAGCAUAGGAAGGCAUUGCAAUUUCUGCUCCUCCACUGCCAUUUUAAUUGCUCUUUCGUAAAUAUCACAAGCAGCUGAGCAAUUCCCCUGGAAAAUUUCAGCAAGCAAUGCCUUAUAACAAAAUUCUUCUCCCUGAUUUAAGAAAACUUGUGUAACUUAGUAUGUACCAGACGUUUUUCCAUAUUUGCUCGAUUAGUAACAUUUUGAAUGAAAUAGGACUCCCAAUCUAUAAUAAUAGGAGGAAAGGAAGCGCGAGCACCAUCUGGAUCCCCAAUUUGCUCCAUAUAUCUGGCAGUAAAAAGAUGGAUUUCUGGAACAUUCUGCAAGAAGCACUUACAGAUAAGAGUCUCUGCUUAAAAUCAAACAUUAUAGUAUAUAGUGACCAGAGAAACUCAACUGUAUGAUUUAGUUUUGAAAUACUGUCCUUUUAUCUUAUCACUCUCUUGUAGAUACAAGCAUUUCUAGCAAGUAAUUUCAUUCACGAGUAAACCCUAGUAAAAUUUGGUGCAGAAUUUGUGCUAGCAACAAUUUACAAACUCAACCAUCAGAAACUUGGAAAGAAAAAUCCAACUAGAAUAGUUCAAACGAAGCUUACUUUCAACAAGUUGCACUGCAUUAGGAAAAUAAUGUGCUUCCUGGUGCCCUCACAUUGAGACACGAACUGUACUACUCAGCCUUCCAAAUUUUCAAACUUUUCACUAUUGAUUUUUUUUUUCUUUUUACGAAACCUUUUCACUAUUGAUUAUUUAACUGGGAAAAAUUGGUUUCCAGAAUGCAUACGGGUCAGUAACCAUUUCCUCACCAGAACUGGCUAGAUAUUGCACUUAUGUUGGAUAAAGCGCUUUUAUGCAAUAUAACAGUAACUAGUGAGCAUAUUUGCAGAUAAAUCCAGGUGAUCUAAAGCACAAAUCUGAGGUUGGUUAGAAAAUGAAGAACAAAAAUCAUUCAGGAUUAUAACUGAUUAACUUUCACAUUCACUUAACCAAAUCCAGGGAUAGCCGUAAGACAGACCAAUCAAUUAAAGAAAAGUGAUUCAACAUUCAAGUGAAGAGUGAAGUGGUUGUCAUUCAGUGCCUGUACAGGUAUCUUGAAGUUUACCUUCGAGAAAACUUGUGUUGCUCGUUCUAAAGCAAACAUUGCUAGCUCCCGUCCUCCCUUAGUCUCCACGAAAUCCACAUAACGCAUCCAGAACUCAGGGUAGUUGGCACAGGAUAUCAAGCACCUCUCAUAAAGUUUUAGGGCCUGUAGCAGAAUAGUUUACUAUUUUGGAGCAAAAUCAAGCAGGAAUCCCUGACAUCUUCAGAGAACAUUAAAGCAUACCCAAUCAAAAUCUUCUUGCUUUUCGAUGAAGUCGAGAUAAUCAUGCCAGUUCUUCAGCUCAUCGCUGUCAAGAGGAGUUGCCUGGAAAUAUCGCCUCUGGAUGUUUGAUUCAAAACAUCUAAUUUUGUUCUCUAGUUGGCAUGCUUCUUGGUAUAGCUGAUUUCCACCGUAUUUGUACUUAUACAGCGCUUUCAACCUGACUGAAUCAUCACUAGGAUCCUGGAUGUCCUUAACAACUUGAGCAAUUUCUCCAUUUGAUAACAGAAUUGUUGCAUCUGAAAGCUCUUUUAGUUGUACCCCGCCGCUGUCAUCACUGAGAUGUAGAAUCCCCUCUUCUAAAUUGGUUACAAACUUCUUAAAGCUGGACAUUUAAUAAGCAUAUGAACUUUCUAGUAUUCACAAUUGAAAUGCCUUGAAUUUGAAGCAGUACACAAUCCAACAGAAUGUGGCAAGAAGUGGCAAGUGAUGAAAAACCUAACGCAUUGAAUUAUUCCAUUAUAUUAAAAUAUUCUCCCUUGCCUUACCAUGAACCAGCUCAAUGACGUUAAGGCACAGUUUUUGCCUUUUUGGUAGACAUAACAACUGUUUAUCCAUUUUUCAGAAGAAAAAAAAUGUUAAUUAAUAAUAGGAGCCAUGUAAAUCUUUUACUGUCCUGCAGGGGUGUUUGAAAAGAAAUGAAUCAGAAAAUAACAGAAACAUUUUAAAACGCCUACUUAGUGUCACUGGUUGGAUAAGAAUUAGCUGAUAUGGGCAAUCUGGGUAAAAAAAUUGCCCCCUCACAUAUCUAAAUAACUUUCUUAGCCCACACGCUUUAUCAGCACAGAGCAUAUACCUUUUAAUCAUACAGAUACUUCUCUUUGGAGUAAUCCAAUCCAUUUAGCACCUGAAAUUCUAUAGUAAACAGAAGGGCAAGAGUCUUCGUCAUCGGAAGUUUAAUAUAAUCAAGUAAUAUGACCUACUUUCUGAGCAUAGAUAGUGAAGAACCUUAGCUCUCAGCAAUAGGGAUGGCAAUGGGGCGGGGCGGGUUGAAUUUUCUUUAAAGAAACUUUUGCGGGUUGCGGGAUGGGUGCGGGUCAAUUUUUUCCUACUGUACAUUUAGUUAUUCGCAUGAAUCUUGUCUUCAAGCUUUUCAAUCUGUUGCUUAUACGAUUUUUUUAAAAUAUUUACGUGGAUCAUAAUAUUGUGUUGUAUUUAAUUUCUAAAUAUCUUUAUUUUUUUCCUGCUUCAAUUUAAAUACCUUUGAUUAUUAUAUAAAGCUCGAAAUAUUCGAAAAUGACAUUAAAGAUUAGACGAACUUCACUACUCCUAUAUAUAAACUACUUUGACUUUUCUAGAAUAUUUGACCCUCUCAAACUUUAAAAAAAAAUAUUUUCCUCUGUUCUCCAUACCUUGAGACUUGAGAGUGCUUUUCAUCCAUCAUAAAAAUGCAUCUCUGAAGCUUUUCAUUUAAUGGAGAAGAUCUACGUAUAUAGGAUUACUGUUGUUGAAAAAUCUAGUUAUGUUAUUCAGUUUUGCAUUUAUUUAGUUAUGGGCAUUAAAUUCCUUUUUCUUACUCUAUUGGGAGUUUCAUUUAAUUCUUUUUUUUAUUAAUGUUCUAUAUUGGUCUUGUGGUAUAAGUAAUUAUUUCCAUUAUCUGUAAAGUCAAUUUUGAUUUAACAAUUUGAGCAUGAAUUGGUUCUUACUCAUAUAAUGCAUCCAUGUGAAUAUCACAAUUUCUUUUUCUAGUUUUCUAAUAUCACAAUAUCGGGAAUAUCACAAGAAUGGGCCUUGAGACAAUAUGAAGAUGCUCCAACUAGUGUAAUGAAAGUCUCUAAAAAUAAGACAAUUUGAAGAAAAAAACACUGGAAAACUUAGUGGGGCGGGGCGUCGAGUGUGAGUGCAGGGAGGGGGAACGUGAGUGGAAAUGCUAUGCGGUGUGGGUUGAAAUUUUACGGGUUAAGGUAGAACCCGCACCGCACCCACCCGCCCCGUUUGCCAUCCCUACUCAGCAAUAAAAGUAUCAAGUAUAGUGUCACAAUCAACACAUCAAGAGAAGUGUAGUAUAUAUAUGAUAUCAGUUUUCAGCAUUCGAACAUGACUUACCAGUAAUUUUAGGUACUCUUGUGCCACUAAAUAUGAGGUUAUGAAUUUGACCUUUUAUCUAAUUUUUUUAUCAAACACUUAAUAUUUAUUUUAUUUCAGCAGAAUAUGCAUCCAAUACUAUUUUGGUCAAACAUUGUUCUUUGAAAUUUCAUCAUUGUAGAGCAGUAGUGUUGGAGGCAAUUACCAGAAAAUAAUAAAAAUUAAUUCAAGGCGAAAUACAUAGAUGGCCCCUUUAAGUUAUCCACAACGAUCAAAUAAACACCUCAACAGACCUAUUUAUCUAGUAGACACCUCAAAUUAUUUUUUAGUGUAUCUCUUAAACCCUUCAAACUGACGUGGCAAAAUAUGUGUACUACACUCGCGUUGCAGCAAGUGAAGCCUUUAAAAAUUGUGUUUUUUUUUUAAAUUUAACUGGUGGAUCCCACUUAUCCUCACCCUUUCUUCUCCAAAAUUUUCUUCCACUGUCCACUCCACCUCAACCCACUAUUCUCAACGCCACAACUUCACCAUGAAAGAGAAGUGUGCAAAACAACAGAAAAUAAAUGAGCAUAAAAACUCUUUCUUCUGAUGUGCAAAACACCCUUGAAUCGGUAUGCUCCCUGUGUAAGUCAAGAAAACCAGUUCCGGCACAAUUUCCAGUUGAGUUUAUAUCCAUUAUGUAAAAAAGAAUACUAGAAAUUCAACAUGAAAAGGAUUUUAGUUAUGAGUCAACAACAACAUACCCAGUAUAAUCCCACAAGUGGGAUUUGGGGAGGGUAGUGUGUAUGCAGACCUUACCCCUACCUGGCAAGAUAGAGAGGCUGUUUCCGAUAGACCCUCGGCUCAAUUUUAGUUAUGAGUCAAUCAAAAUAUUAUUUUUUUGGAUUUUGAUUCUAUGAAUUUCAAUUUGCCACAGAUAGGUCCAUCUAGCUCCUAUAAGCAGACGUUAUUUUCUUAAACAAGAACCCCACUUAUACUGGGCGACCACCUCGAAUUCACCGGCCGGAUCUCCAUAUUUUUCUCAUCCUUUUUAACAUUAACACUCUUAGACAACACACCCAACUAGUAUCUUCUCGCCGUUUUCACUGACCACACUCUCAAAAAGCCCAAAAAAAAAAUUCAAGACUUUCUGUACUCACUAUUCCACUUGUGGGAUUACACUAGGUUUGUUGUUGUUGUUGUUUCUGUACUCACUAAUAGUCAAAACACCGUCCCUCUACCACCUCUCCGCCGAAUAACCACCGGACCACUAAUCUCUUCAAGUCUUCUUAUUAUGGUAGGUUAUGAAGUAGUAGGGGUUUGGGCUGAGGAAGGAGGGGAAGGCGGUCCGAUUUGGUUGAAAGAUGGUCGGUGGUGACGAAGAAGAAGAUGAUGUUUGGGGGAGAGGAGGGGGUCUGAUU